RNAcentral lists this ribosomal RNA (288 nucleotides) under Halobellus limi. RNAcentral's name for it is "Halobacteriaceae archaeon TBN53 Archaeal small subunit ribosomal RNA". It matches the Rfam family "Archaeal small subunit ribosomal RNA", at positions 1 to 290 of the family's 1478-position model. The record is from Rfam by way of RNAcentral. Lineage: Archaea; Methanobacteriati; Methanobacteriota; Halobacteria; Halobacteriales; Haloferacaceae.
AUUCCGGUUGAUCCUGCCGGAGGCCAUUGCUAUCGGAGUCCGAUUUAGCCAUGCUAGUCGCACGAGUUCACACUCGUGGCAGAUAGCUCAGUAACACGUGGCCAACCUACCCUACAGAGACGAAUAACCUCGGGAAACUGAGGCUAACUCGUCAUAGAACUCCCACGCUGGAACGCCGGGAGUCACAAACACUACGGUGCUGUAGGAUGAGGCUGCGGCCGAUUAGGUAGACGGUGGGGUAACGGCCCACCGUGCCCAUAAUCGGUACGGGUUGUGAGAGCAAGAGCC